CUGAAAGGCAGGAGUGCCCGCAAGGGAGCGCGGAGACAGGUGGUGCAUGGCUGUCGCCAGCUCGUGUCGUGAGAUGUUGGGUUAAGUCCCGCAACGAGCGCAACCCUCACCCCUUGUUGCUACCAGGUAAAGCUGGGCACUCUAGGGGAACUGCCCCGGUCAACGGGGAGGAAGGCGGGGAUGACGUCAAGUCAUCAUGCCCCUUACGUCCUGGGCUACACACGUGCUACAAUGGCCGGUACAAAGGGAUGCCACACCGCGAGGUAGAGCUAAACCCAAAAAGCCGGUCUAAGUUCAGAUUGGAGUCUGCAACUCGACUCCAUGAAGGAGGAAUCGCUAGUAAUCGCGUAUCAGCACGACGCGGUGAAUACSUUCCCGGGCCUUGUACACACCGCCCGUCACACCACGAAAGCCAG
Molecule: ribosomal RNA, 416 nt
Filed under: uncultured bacterium
Lineage: Bacteria
Description: bacterial SSU rRNA
Rfam family: Bacterial small subunit ribosomal RNA
Source: RNAcentral